CCAAUAGCGUAUAUUAAAGUUGUUGCAGUUAAAAAGCUCGUAGUUGAACCUUAGGCCCGUGCGGGCGGUCCGUCCUCUGGGCGAGCACUGCUCCGUCGCGGGUCUCACCUUCUGGCGAGCGUGGAUGCCAUUUAUUUGGUGUCCGCGGGAACCAGGACCUUUACCUUGAAAAAAUUAGAGUGCUCAAAGCGGGCUCCGACGCUUGAAUACAUUAGCAUGGAAUAAUGAAAUAGGACGAUGGUUCUAUUUUGUUGGUUUCCGGGACCGUCGUAAUGAUUAAUAGGGAUAGUUGGGGGCAUUCGUAUUCAAUUGUCAGAGGUGAGAUUCUUGGAUUUAUUGAAGACGAACUACUGCGAAAGCAUUUGCCAAGGAUGUUUUCAUUAAUCAAGAACGAAAGUUGGGGGAUCGAAGACGAUCAGAUACCGUCGUAGUCUCAACCAUAAACUAUGCCGACUGGGAAUCGGGCGAUGUUACUUUUCUGACUCGCUCGGCGCCCCGAG
Molecule: ribosomal RNA, 500 nt
Filed under: uncultured Glomeromycotina
Lineage: Eukaryota; Fungi; Glomeromycota
Description: partial small subunit ribosomal RNA
Rfam family: Eukaryotic small subunit ribosomal RNA
Source: RNAcentral